This 2571-nucleotide long non-coding RNA is filed under the name Mytilus galloprovincialis (Mediterranean mussel). The record is from RNAcentral. Lineage: Eukaryota; Metazoa; Mollusca; Bivalvia; Mytilida; Mytilidae.
UCCCUGUGCUAAGUAGAUAUAGGAAGAUGUGGUAAGAGUGCCAAUGAGACAACUCUCCAUCCAAGUAACAAUUUAUAAAAGUAAACCAUUAUAGGUCAAGGUACGGCCUUCAACAAGGGGCCUUGGUUUAUUGACUUGGGAAAAACAUAUUUGGUUUAAGCAAGGCAUCUCAGUUUUCUCCACAUAAAAAAUGAGGCUUUUAUCUCCAUAAAAUAAACAAAACUCUAGUUUAAUUAUUACCUGUUUUAUUACAUAUCACAGUUGAUAAUGGUUUCAUAACAAGGAGGAUUACAUCCCCUUUAAUCAAGUCUACAAAAAUGAAUUGUCUCCCCUUAUUUCAAUUCUACAUGAGAGGAUUGUCUCCCCUUAUAUCUAUUCUACAUGAGAGAAUUGGCUCACCCUUGUGUCAAUUCUAAUGAGCAGGUUUAACUAUCGCUGAGGGGGUAAUACAACAAAAACAUCAAUGUUAUUGUUAGCUUGAUGAGAGAACGUAAAAGAUUAGUAUACAAUAAACCUACUAUUACAUUUUAAAAACAUUUUGUUUUAUCUAAGAGAGUGACAUUUCAAAUGUAGAAAGGUAUUUAUUUUUAAUUCUUUGUUUAGAAAAAAAUAUGACACUUAAAAAGAGUUAUUGAUUAAAAUUAAAAUAGAAACUUUUCAAUCUAGUUCUGUGUAAGUAUAUUUCUUUUUUAUAUGCGAUGAAACUAAAGUGGUGCUUUUAACAACAUAAUUUCAAAGGUUUAAAUGCAUGCACGCAGAGUCUAUUUUUAAUUGUUAUAUAUAUGGUUGUGAUCAUUUUAAAGAAAAACUUAGACAUGAUUAUCUUCACUUGGCACAUUUCUAUCAUUAUUAUGGUCCCUUGACACAAUAACAUUAUCUUCGAGUGACACAAUCUUAUCGUGAACAGGAAGACAACAUAUAUAUUUUCCAAACAUAAUAAUUUACAUACAAUCUAUUAUUAACAAAGAAGAAACAUUAUAGGAAGUUUUGUUCUCAAGAUAAAAAUUAUGAACAAUAUUUUCACAUAAAGGCAUUUAAAAACAUAAAAUUAUAUCUUUCAUUACUUUUCAUAAGUAACAAAUUUAUAUAAAGCCCCUAAUCAUCCAAACGUUUAUUUUCCCAAAAUACAUAUAUGGUGACAGAACAGUAUUUCUAAAUGCAGAUCAUAUUGUGUACAACAUAUAAAAAUAUAAUUAUAUAUCUAUUGCUACUGUAUCCUACUAUCUUCAAAUCUUUUUAGGUGUAAUACCACCAAAUCAUGGAAUGUCACAUCUGGUUGUAAAAAUAAAUCCAAAAAAAAUAUUCCCUUGAAUUUGACAGUUUUAAGUAAUUAGUCCUACUUUUUAUUACAGUAAAACAUUUCUGUGUCAUAAACAUAUGUCUUGGGUAUUUCAAAACACCAUUAUUCUUUUAUUUGGGAUUUCUAUAGAAUAUUUUGUAAUCUUGAGGUUACAUGGUGACUGAACCUUGUUAACAUAGAUAAAACAAGGGAAGAAAUUUGAUUGGUUAACUUCCAAUGAUGGUUAUUUUCUUAUAUGCAAUGAAAUGUUAUGUGCAUUUUUUUCUAUAGUACUGGACAGGAUAAAACUUUACUCACGCAAAGUACUUCUUUAUUUGAAACAAAGAUAAAUUCUUCACAUUUUUUUAAAAGUGCAAAUUUAACAAAGACUAAUAGGGGAAAUCAAUGGUGGUAUUACACCUAUAUAUAGUCACAGGCCUGCAGACUAUCCUGAUUUGUGGAGGUUAUCCCCAAUAAGAGGUGUUGACCUGAAUUUUCAAAAUUCUUUAUUAUAUAAACUGAACAGCUCAAAACAGGCAUUCAAAUGAGUUAAAAGGGCAUUCACGUACAUUCUCAUACAAAGGAUGUAGUUGUAUAUUAAACACUCUUCUUACAAUAUUUGAUGAGCAUUAGGUCCUCUUGCAUUUAAAAUUCCCCUUGAAGAUUUUGAAAUGUUGUCAAGUAUCAUAGAUUAAAAAGACAAUAAUUAAAUUAAUCAAUGUUAUUACAGCUACCAGAGGAUCAAUUGGGUGUAUAUUACCAAUAUCUACAUGAUCUAUGCAUAUUACUUGAAAAUCAGCCCUAUCAAAACUAUGUAUGUAUGUACAUGUACUAGUAAAUGCCUCCAAUAUCCGAAGAACCCCUCGAAAGCUGCGAGGGUACAGUGGCAUCCUUGUACACUCCCUGUCGGGAUUAAUGGAGAUGUGUCACUAACGUAUAUUUAUACGACAAUUAUUUUUACAAGAACAAUCAAUCCCCACCCAACACAAAAGGAGUGUUGGGACACUGGGAAGUCUGUUAUUAUUGUGGAGGAAGCUGAAGUACCGCUCUGGGUAAAAGAGAUGUGUGUGAGAGAGUGAAAAUUACCCUCCAUGCAGUAAUUUGUUAUGAGGUCAAAUUUAUGUCAACCAUUUCAAUUUUUUAUUGAUAGAUGAUUAGUUGUUAUUUCCAGUGGGAAAAUAUUUCAUGCAUAAUUAGGACAAAAUACCUUAUACAAUAAACCACAUAAUUGAUUUGGAAAAGGGUUAAACGGUAUAAAAAUCAGGUAAUUUUGACAGUUUAUAGAGCAAAAG